ACCCGCUGAACUUAAGCAUAUCAAUAAGCGGAGGAAAAGAAACCAACAGGGAUUGCCCCAGUAACGGCGAGUGAAGCGGCAACAGCUCAAAUUUGAAAUCUGGCUCUCGGGCCCGAGUUGUAAUUUGUAGAGGAUGCUUUUGGUGAGGUGCCUUCCGAGUUCCCUGGAACGGGACGCCAUAGAGGGUGAGAGCCCCGUCUGGUCGGACACCGAUCCUCUGUAAAGCUCCUUCGACGAGUCGAGUAGUUUGGGAAUGCUGCUCUAAAUGGGAGGUAUAUGUCUUCUAAAGCUAAAUACCGGCCAGAGACCGAUAGCGCACAAGUAGAGUGAUCGAAAGAUGAAAAGAACUUUGAAAAGAGAGUUAAAAAGUACGUGAAAUUGUUGAAAGGGAAGCGCUUGUGACCAGACUUGGGCUUGGUUGAUCAUCCAGGGUUCUCCCUGGUGCACUCUUCCGGCCCAGGCCAGCAUCAGUUCGCCC
This 478-nucleotide ribosomal RNA is filed under the name Fusarium sp. Its description in RNAcentral is "partial 28S ribosomal RNA". It matches the Rfam family "Eukaryotic large subunit ribosomal RNA", at positions 23 to 512 of the family's 3401-position model. Lineage: Eukaryota; Fungi; Ascomycota; Sordariomycetes; Hypocreales; Nectriaceae. The record is from RNAcentral.